CACGGACUAUUCUCUCAUGUUGAAUGUGGCACUUUUUACAUACAAGCAGGAGAGCAACUACACCAAGAUUUUGGAAAACAUGUUAUGUAAGUUUUUAUUUUUAAAAUCAGGAGAGAAUUUCUGCAACAUCCUAUGACCACAGAUCCCUACCCAUCUGCAUUGGGGCACUUACAGAUCACCUUCUCUUCUGAACUUUGUAUGAAGUGACCAUGUCCCUCCUAUCCCUUUCCAUGUGCACAAGAUCAUGUCAUCUCUAGCUUAUUCAAAGACAUUGCCUUAGCAAUCUGCCCUUGCCUUCUGUUUCAUCAGUUUCUAAGCAACAACUAGAAAGGCCAAAGCCUUACAGGACCAGUCUGGCCAAGGCAUAGCUACAGCAUCUUUCUCAUCUGUCUAGCAGACAGUUUCUAUUAGAUCAUUCCCACAAGUACAUACAAGCAGACUUACAUUUCUCACCUCACACUUUAUAAAAAACAAACAACUCCCCAGGCACCCACUUCUCCUCUCCAGGUACAGCCCCUUUGUUAUCCUUUCCUCUACAACUAAACUUCUUAAGAGAAAUUUCUAUACUAGCUGUUUCCUAGUUCUUCCUCAUUUUCUCUUGUGACUUCACUCCAGUCAAUCCAAGAUAACCAUUGACCUUUCUGGUGUCAAAUCUAACAUUUAUUUUUCAGGCCAUAUCUUAUUUCAUCUUUCCACAACAUCUGAUACAGUUGAUUCCUCUACUUCACCUUCUUCACUUUGCUUGAAGGACACCACAGAAAUAGAACAUGGCCAGACUCAGAAGUGCCCCUGGGACCCUCUUCCAAUUACCAUCAUUUUCCUUCUC
RNAcentral lists this long non-coding RNA (826 nucleotides) under Homo sapiens (human). RNAcentral's name for it is "non-protein coding LINC01612:7". The record is from RNAcentral. Lineage: Eukaryota; Metazoa; Chordata; Mammalia; Primates; Hominidae.